This is a non-coding RNA of Manis javanica (Malayan pangolin), 617 nucleotides long. Lineage: Eukaryota; Metazoa; Chordata; Mammalia; Pholidota; Manidae. The record is from RefSeq and is a predicted model, not a curated record.
GCAACUGGGGAAGGGUCCUGCCCACCUGCCUGUUGCCUGCCUGGGUCCCCCAGUGCCCUGGACAGGGGCACUUGAUGCUCCUUUUGGUCCUCAGGACACAUGUGCCCCAGUGAAGGGCAAGAGGCAGGGGGAGGUGAGGAAGGGGCUGGCAGAGGCCACGGACAGGCUCUAGACCUGAGAAGAGGUUGCGGAAGGGGUGACCUUCAACAAGUGUCCUGCAGUCACCUCUGGCCAUGAGUCCCACACAUGCAAGAGGCACGGAGGGCCAAGCAUGAACAUUGGUGGGCAGACAACAGGAAGGACUUCCCAGCAGCACUGUGUUCUUUCAGGCCUCUAGGAAUGCUGGGGCCAACACGCAGGGCGAGCUCCUGCGGAAGUGCGGACUAAGGGGAAGGGUUAAUCUGGCCAUUCUCCUGGACCCACCAGGAUCUGCACGCCCUUCCCUGACACAUGCAAACACACUCCCCCCCCUCCAACCUGGUGUGUAUCAUGUUCCCCACUUCCCCAUCUCCACACCUGUGCCCUUGUUCUCAAUUGCCCUGAACGAACCCUCACCUAUUAAAAACUCAAGAGUCCUGUGUCUGGGUGCCCACUCUAAUCACCCAGGCUCCACAGCC